Long non-coding RNA from Sesamum indicum (sesame), 644 nucleotides. RefSeq lists it as uncharacterized. The record is from RefSeq and is a predicted model, not a curated record. Lineage: Eukaryota; Viridiplantae; Streptophyta; Magnoliopsida; Lamiales; Pedaliaceae.
GCCAAUAUAUGAAUCAAUAUCCAGAGCUAUCAUACGCGCAUCUAUCAAAGACAUAUUCCGCUAUUGGGUUAGGGCUCUCUCCUUUUUCCAUCGUUCGAAGCCUCUCUUUGCGAUCACCGCGAAACCCUAACCCUAGAAUUCGACAAUGUCUAGCAAGCAAGGAGGGAAAGCGAAGCCUUUGAAGCAACCUAAGGCCGAAAAGAAAGAGUACGACGAGAUUGACAAGGCUAAUAUUCAAAAGAAAAAGGAUGAAGAAAAGGCUCUGAAGGAGCUCAAGGCAAAGGCUCAGCAGAAGGGAGCAUUUGGUGGUUCUGGUCUGAAGAAAAGCGGCAAAAAAUGAGACUUUCUGAAAAGCAAAUGGUCUCGAUUGCUCCAUUCUUGUCAUUGUGGUGUUGUGUUAUUGUGUCCUCGAGUUCCUAGCAUACAACUUAAAUGUGUUAGCUUGUUAUUGUCUGGUUAUCAAGCUUCCAAAAGCUUUUCGAUAAAAGAUUUUCAGCUUUUUCUAAUAGAUGCAUGAUGCCUUUAUUCUGCCUGUAAUUUACAAUAUGUACCCCUUUCUGAAACGUCAAUGGGUGGUUUCCAUGUGUUCCUGGUAGUGAAUUAUCUUCAAAAGUUGAUCUUUUAUGAAAAGAUGAUCUUGUCAA